GACGAACGCUGGCGGCGUGCUUAACACGUGCAAGUCGAACGGAAAGGCCCUGCUUUUGUGGGGUGCUCGAGUGGCGAACGGGUGAGUAACACGUGAGUAACCUGCCCUUGACUUUGGGAUAACUUCAGGAAACUGGGGCUAAUACCGGAUAGGAGCUCCUGCUGCAUGGUGGGGGUUGGAAAGUUUCGGCGGUUGGGGAUGGACUCGCGGCUUAUCAGCUUGUUGGUGGGGUAGUGGCUUACCAAGGCUUUGACGGGUAGCCGGCCUGAGAGGGUGACCGGCCACAUUGGGACUGAGAUACGGCCCAGACUCCUACGGGAGGCAGCAGUGGGGAAUAUUGCACGAUGGGCGGAAGCCUGAUGCAGCAACGCCGCGUGCGGGAUGACGGCCUUCGGGUUGUAAACCGCUUUCGCCUGUGACGAAGCGUGAGUGACGGUAAUGUGUAAAGAAGCACCGGCUAACUACGUG
Molecule: ribosomal RNA, 468 nt
Filed under: uncultured bacterium
Lineage: Bacteria
Description: partial 16S ribosomal RNA
Rfam family: Bacterial small subunit ribosomal RNA
Source: RNAcentral